UUUACUAAAAGAUGAAAUGAAUUUGUCAAUUGUGUGUUGAUUGUUUUCUUAUCCUUGACAAAAGUUUCAUAUUGUAUGUCAUUUUGUAAGUGGUUAUAUAUGAUUUACAAGUCAGCUGUCUAGAACUAAUAUUAUUCGAUUCGAAUUUUUGAUAGAACGUCAAUAAAUAAUAUUGAUUUUCAAUAUGACUGUAUUACUUUAAAUCUGCCUGGUAAUGUAUGAUAAAACAAAAAUUAAAAUAUAAGAAGUUUUUAAUUUUUAUUACUUUGUUAUAGUUUAUUCAUGCGUUAAAUGCGUAUAAUUAGACGACUAUAUGAUGAAAUUCCAGCAAAACAGGUUCUUUUACAAUAGACAAGAAUUUAGCUUGUUUUUGUUACAUUAUUAAUUAAGAUAAGUCACUGUUAAAAUAAUACACGAUUAAAACAUUUUUAUUCUCUAGCAAUAAAAUUAUAAUUAAUUUCUAUGAAUUUAAAUCAAUGGGUUUUCUGUGCAUCAAUUCUGUGAUAAAUAUAAGUUCAUAUAGGGAUUAUCGCAGUUCACCAGUGGGGUUAACGGAGUUUUUCAUAGAGGAGUGAAUAUAUGUUUUAAGAACCUCGAAUCAUUAUCCACACGACCGUCCAUGGCAGUCUGUCUGUCCACAAAUAAAAUUCCAUUUGCGUUGCUGAAACAAGGUUAUUGUUGCGCAGUUUUCGAACUGCAUUGGUAUUGCUCAUAAGUUUGUAUAAUUAUGAACAACUGAUUCAUCAUAGUCGAGACAUAACACUUGAGUAUUCUGUGACAAGGACGAAUUGAAAUGUUCAGAAAAGGAAAUAAUACUCAAUUGUAUAACAUUAAAUAGCAAGUUUACCAUAAGUUAACUACACAUUAGAAUGAGUUCUCAUUCAAGCCCUAGUCAUGAUCGAAUAAUAAUAUUUUGUAUAGGCAGUUCAUUAAUACAUAGAGACUAUGCAGGAGUCAAAAUAUCAUUUGCGGCAUAAAUGUUGGUUGACAGGCGGUAAUCAUAUUUUCAGUGAUUUUAUUUCCAAGUCUAAGUCACAUUCACAAAAUUCGAUACUCACACAAUGUAGAUCUAAAUAUUUUAGUAAAUACCCUUAAUAAGAUUUUGUAAGAAUAAGUUUUUUAGGUAUUUCACUAUUUUUAUAUCAGAAGUGUUUUUA
This is a long non-coding RNA of Daktulosphaira vitifoliae (grape phylloxera), 1157 nucleotides long. RefSeq lists it as uncharacterized. The transcript has 3 exons. NCBI's taxonomy places the organism in Eukaryota, Metazoa, Arthropoda, Insecta, Hemiptera, Phylloxeridae. The record is from RefSeq and is a predicted model, not a curated record.